Molecule: long non-coding RNA, 1006 nt
Organism: Saccostrea cuccullata (small rock oyster)
Lineage: Eukaryota; Metazoa; Mollusca; Bivalvia; Ostreida; Ostreidae
Exons: 2
Source: RefSeq, a predicted model, not a curated record
UAUGCUAUGUACGCGGUCACAAAUUUUCCGCGGAAAUUUGUCCAAGCGUACUUAAUUUAAAUGUAAGGCAUAUAGUGACAGUCUAAGAAAUCCGCGUAAUUUUCUACCGGUGGAUUAAACAGAAAUUGAGAUUCCACGGGAUUAUGACCCCGUGAAAAAAAGUACGUCUACAGUAUAUACAUGUACAUGUAGAAUGUUCACCUCUGAUUUAUAAUGAUAUUUGUUUUAUACACACUGACCAUGUUUUAUAAUAUUCUAAACAAAUUAUUUGAUACUCAGGCAAAUAUUCACUACUGGUAAGAUGAUCACACACAUGAACAUGUCUGUUUAUGAAUGAAAUGAAUUUUCCUUUUGAUCAUGUUCCUAGGAAAAUAAUUAUUUUCAUCAUUUUUUCAUCAAAGGAUUUACCAUAUAAGAUGAAUAUAUUAAAAGAAAAAGUAAGACCAGUAAACCAAAACAGGACCAAAUAGGCCAUGACUGAAGUUCAAGUGCAUUCUGCAAGAAAGUGGACAGCCUAGAUUUUGUUCUUUUCAAGGUUGAGAAGGGAUGCCAUAUUUUAGGUUUGAAACCAGGCAAGUGAAAGCUGAAUUCCAACCUAUUCCAACAUACUUGUACCCACUGUCUUCAAGAUAUCAGUGUUUGAGAUGUCAAAGUUCAAAUAUAAUAGGAACAUGUUUAUCAUAUUAUGUGAUGGCAUCCUCAAAUCUUAUGCUGUAUAACAAUAUGUUUUAGAACUUAUCAAGCUUUAUCCUGUACCUUGCCAAAAAACCUCAACUCAGCAUAAUUCUCAUUAACUAAUUAUCAGUGUUACUUGCGUAUGUCAAUGUAGGUCAUUACUGGUACAUGCCUGACCAACAAAAACUCUAAAAUUGAAAAAUCAGAGACUAGAUUUUCAGAGCAGCAGAAACAGUAGAAUUUGUCACGUAAAUCUAAUGAUAUGUACUGUAGUUUAGAAUACAUGUACUCUAAAUGUUGCAUAUAUAAAAAAUAAAAAAAGCGAAAAGUU